RNAcentral lists this ribosomal RNA (1842 nucleotides) under Escherichia coli. RNAcentral describes it as "partial 23S ribosomal RNA". It matches the Rfam family "Bacterial large subunit ribosomal RNA", at positions 1116 to 2925 of the family's 2925-position model. Lineage: Bacteria; Pseudomonadati; Pseudomonadota; Gammaproteobacteria; Enterobacterales; Enterobacteriaceae. The record is from RNAcentral. RNAcentral also lists the same sequence under 1 other name.
CCAUCAUUUAAAGAAAGCGUAAUAGCUCACUGGUCGAGUCGGCCUGCGCGGAAGAUGUAACGGGGCUAAACCAUGCACCGAAGCUGCGGCAGCGACGCUUAUGCGUUGUUGGGUAGGGGAGCGUUCUGUAAGCCUGUGAAGGUGUGCUGUGAGGUAUGCUGGAGGUAUCAGAAGUGCGAAUGCUGACAUAAGUAACGAUAAAGCGGGUGAAAAGCCCGCUCGCCGGAAGACCAAGGGUUCCUGUCCAACGUUAAUCGGGGCAGGGUGAGUCGACCCCUAAGGCGAGGCCGAAAGGCGUAGUCGAUGGGAAACAGGUUAAUAUUCCUGUACUUGGUGUUACUGCGAAGGGGGGACGGAGAAGGCUAUGUUGGCCGGGCGACGGUUGUCCCGGUUUAAGCGUGUAGGCUGGUUUUCCAGGCAAAUCCGGAAAAUCAAGGCCGAGGCGUGAUGACGAGGCACUACGGUGCUGAAGCAACAAAUGCCCUGCUUCCAGGAAAAGCCUCUAAGCAUCAGGUAACAUCAAAUCGUACCCCAAACCGACACAGGUGGUCAGGUAGAGAAUACCAAGGCGCUUGAGAGAACUCGGGUGAAGGAACUAGGCAAAAUGGUGCCGUAACUUCGGGAGAAGGCACGCUGAUACGUAGGUGAAGCGACUUGCUCGUGGAGCUGAAAUCAGUCGAAGAUACCAGCUGGCUGCAACUGUUUAUUAAAAACACAGCACUGUGCAAACACGAAAGUGGACGUAUACGGUGUGACGCCUGCCCGGUGCCGGAAGGUUAAUUGAUGGGGUUAGCGCAAGCGAAGCUCUUGAUCGAAGCCCCGGUAAACGGCGGCCGUAACUAUAACGGUCCUAAGGUAGCGAAAUUCCUUGUCGGGUAAGUUCCGACCUGCACGAAUGGCGUAAUGAUGGCCAGGCUGUCUCCACCCGAGACUCAGUGAAAUUGAACUCGCUGUGAAGAUGCAGUGUACCCGCGGCAAGACGGAAAGACCCCGUGAACCUUUACUAUAGCUUGACACUGAACAUUGAGCCUUGAUGUGUAGGAUAGGUGGGAGGCUUUGAAGUGUGGACGCCAGUCUGCAUGGAGCCGACCUUGAAAUACCACCCUUUAAUGUUUGAUGUUCUAACGUGGACCCGUGAUCCGGGUUGCGGACAGUGUCUGGUGGGUAGUUUGACUGGGGCGGUCUCCUCCUAAAGAGUAACGGAGGAGCACGAAGGUUGGCUAAUCCUGGUCGGACAUCAGGAGGUUAGUGCAAUGGCAUAAGCCAGCUUGACUGCGAGCGUGACGGCGCGAGCAGGUGCGAAAGCAGGUCAUAGUGAUCCGGUGGUUCUGAAUGGAAGGGCCAUCGCUCAACGGAUAAAAGGUACUCCGGGGAUAACAGGCUGAUACCGCCCAAGAGUUCAUAUCGACGGCGGUGUUUGGCACCUCGAUGUCGGCUCAUCACAUCCUGGGGCUGAAGUAGGUCCCAAGGGUAUGGCUGUUCGCCAUUUAAAGUGGUACGCGAGCUGGGUUUAGAACGUCGUGAGACAGUUCGGUCCCUAUCUGCCGUGGGCGCUGGAGAACUGAGGGGGGCUGCUCCUAGUACGAGAGGACCGGAGUGGACGCAUCACUGGUGUUCGGGUUGUCAUGCCAAUGGCACUGCCCGGUAGCUAAAUGCGGAAGAGAUAAGUGCUGAAAGCAUCUAAGCACGAAACUUGCCCCGAGAUGAGUUCUCCCUGACCCUUUAAGGGUCCUGAAGGAACGUUGAAGACGACGACGUUGAUAGGCCGGGUGUGUAAGCGCAGCGAUGCGUUGAGCUAACCGGUACUAAUGAACCGUGAGGCUUAACCUUACAACGCCGAAG